Molecule: small nucleolar RNA, 137 nt
Organism: Acanthochromis polyacanthus (spiny chromis)
Lineage: Eukaryota; Metazoa; Chordata; Actinopteri; Pomacentridae
Source: Ensembl
UGCAGCUUUGUCAAAUUCAGUGCUUCCUCCUCAGUGGAUGCCACUGGCCUAAAUGGCUGCCACAGUGAAGGUGUAGUUCAUGGGCCCCACAGUGUCCCAACAUGACCUGUGGGGAUAAAUAAGUCCUACACACAAAU